GCUUUUUACAAACAAAAGAUAAUUCCGACAUUUCAUCUCUUGCAGCCACAGACAUCGUCGGCGGCGAAUUCACCGUCACAGACUGUCAACCGAUUCAACCCUCGUAAAAUUACAUUAACGGAACACAGAAUACCCUAAUUCAACAAAGCUAAUAGCGUCAAUGCUUUUUUAUUGUAAAUCGGAUAGAGAUGCUGUAGGAAGAAACAACACAGCAAGGACCGAAUGUUCAUAACCAGAACAGAGUGGGUCAGUGAAUGGGGCGGCACCAAGCGCAAAGAAAUCCGUACUCCCUUCAAACGCCUCCGCUUCCAUUUCUGCGCUGCAGGCUUUCGCUUACGCCAUUUGAGGAUCCUGUGUGUACAGCCGAUGGCACCGUAUUCGACAUGAUUGAUCUGCUUGAAUAUUCUACUGACCCCUGCAGCAGCCCCAAGUUCCGGAUUUUGUGAACUUUUAAGAAAGGUUGAUGAUAUCCGUGUCAAGGCAGAAGUUCUGAUUUUCUUGGUCAUUAUUAGCACAUUACUGUGAGUUGUAAAAGCGUCAGAAACUACAAUAGGCAAUUGUGUGUCUUAAUACAAAGGCCGAGGACUGGGCUUAUUGCUGAAAAACCUUCAGUUUCAACCAGAAGGUUUACGAUGGGUGCUGCAUCACGGUCCUUCACAUUAAUCUCAUAUGAUCCUGUCACCAAAAAUGAGUUUAAGUAUGUCAAAGUUGAGAAAAAUCCCCAAAAGAUAGGCUAUGGUCAACUUCAUACAACACAUGGUGAUUUAAAUAUUGAGCUCCACUGUGACAUAAUUCCGAGAACAUGUGAGAAUUUCAUUACACUCUGCGAGCGGGGCUGUUAUAAAGGAGUUUGUUUCUUUGCAACAGUUCAUAUUAGUAAAAUUUUAUUGUGUACCACUGUUUGAAUUUUCUUAUUUAGGGUGGCGAUCCUACUGGUACUGGAAGAGGAGGUGAAUCUAUAUUGGGAAAGCCCUUCAAAGAUGAAGUGAACUCCAAGUUGUUUCACUCUGGAAGGGGUGUUGUUAGUAUGGCAAACAGUGGCCCACACGCAAAUGAUUCCCAGUUUUUCAUUUUGUAUAAAUCUGCAAGUCAUUUAAUUUUCAAACAUACAGUUUUUGUAGGAGUUGUUGGUGGUUUGACUACAUUGGCAGCAAUGGAGAAGGGGUUCCUGUUGAUGACAAUGACCAACCUCAGGAGAUUAAGAUAACCGGCGUAACGGUGUUUGUCAAUCCUUACUCGGAACUGGAUGAAGAAGAGGAAGAGAAGGCCAAAGAAGAGGAAAAUGCUGAGGAUGAAGAUAAAGUUUGUUUCAGGAUUCUUUUGAAUAUCAUUUGCUAUUAUGUAUUUCCAAUAUACUAGCUGAUCUUUUUCCUGGUGUGUAUCAGGAUAAGGUUGGCUCAUGGUAUGUUAGGAACCUGGCAAGUUGGCAGGUUUCCUUUACAAACUUUGAAUCCAAUCCUAUGAACUCUUCCCACA
RNA transcript from Mangifera indica (mango), 1476 nucleotides. It is a transcript of the gene named peptidyl-prolyl cis-trans isomerase CYP65-like, with no coding region annotated. The transcript is spliced from 4 exons. Lineage: Eukaryota; Viridiplantae; Streptophyta; Magnoliopsida; Sapindales; Anacardiaceae. The record is from RefSeq and is a predicted model, not a curated record.